Molecule: ribosomal RNA, 328 nt
Filed under: uncultured eukaryote
Lineage: Eukaryota
Description: partial 18S ribosomal RNA
Rfam family: Eukaryotic small subunit ribosomal RNA
Source: RNAcentral
CCCUUAGACGUUCUGGGCCGCACGCGCGCUACACUGACCGGUGCAACAAGCAUCCGUCCUUGGCCGACAGGCCCGGGCAAUCUUUGGACGCCGGUCGUGAUGGGGAUAGACUUUUGCAAUUUUUGGUCUUCAACGAGGAAUUCCUAGUAAGCGCAAGUCAUCAGCUUGCGUUGAUUACGUCCCUGCCCUUUGUACACACCGCCCGUCGCUCCUACCGAUUGAAUGGUCCGGUGAAGCGCUCGGACCGCGGCCUCUUGACGGGUCUCCGUCGAUUGGCUGUGGGAAGUUCGUUAAACCUUAUCAUUUAGAGGAAGGAGAANUCGUAACA